AUUGAACGCUGGCGGCAGGCCUAACACAUGCAAGUCGAGCGGUAACAUUUCUAAGCUUGCUUAGAAGAUGACGAGCGGCGGACGGGUGAGUAAUGCUUGGGGAUCUGCCUGAUGGCGGGGGACAACCACUGGAAACGGUGGCUAAUACCGCAUAAUACCUAUGGGUCAAAGUGUGGGACCUUCGGGCCACACGCCAUCAGAUGAACCCAAGUGAGAUUAGCUGGUUGGUAAGGUAACGGCUUACCAAGGCGACGAUCUCUAGCUGGUCUGAGAGGAUGAUCAGCCACACUGGGACUGAGACACGGCCCAGACUCCUACGGGAGGCAGCAGUGGGGAAUAUUGGACAAUGGGGGCAACCCUGAUCCAGCCAUGCCGCGUGUGUGAAGAAGGCCUUCGGGUUGUAAAGCACUUUCAGUGGUGAGGAAGGUGGUGUCGUUAAUAGCGGCAUCAAUUGACGUUAGCCACAGAAGAAGCACCGGCUAACUCCGUGCCAGCAGCCGCGGUAAUACGGAGGGUGCGAGCGUUAAUCGGAAUUACUGGGCGUAAAGCGCACGUAGGCGGUAUGUUAAGCAAGAUGUGAAAGCCCAGAGCUCAACUCUGGAAUAGCAUUUUGAACUGGCAUGCUAGAGUUUUGGAGAGGGUGGUAGAAUUUCCAGUGUAGCGGUGAAAUGCGUAGAUAUUGGAAGGAAUACCAGUGGCGAAAGCGGCCACCUGGCCAA
RNAcentral lists this ribosomal RNA (719 nucleotides) under uncultured bacterium. Its description in RNAcentral is "bacterial SSU rRNA". It matches the Rfam family "Bacterial small subunit ribosomal RNA", at positions 28 to 736 of the family's 1533-position model. The record is from RNAcentral.